UACGUAGGAUGCAAGCGUUGUCCGGAUUUACUGGGCGUAAAGGGCGCGUAGGCGGCCACUGCAAGUCAAUUGUGAAAUCUCCGGGCUUAACUCGGAAAGGUCAACUGAUACUGCAGGGCUAGAGUGCAGAAGGGGCAACUGGAAUUCUCGGUGUAGCGGUGAAAUGCGUAGAUAUCGAGAGGAACACCUGCGGCGAAGGCGGGUUGCUGGGCUGACACUGACGCUGAGUGUGCGAAAGCUAGGGGAGCGAACGGG
This 255-nucleotide ribosomal RNA is filed under the name uncultured bacterium. RNAcentral's name for it is "partial 16S ribosomal RNA". It matches the Rfam family "Bacterial small subunit ribosomal RNA", at positions 524 to 776 of the family's 1533-position model. The record is from RNAcentral.